RNAcentral lists this ribosomal RNA (563 nucleotides) under uncultured Sebacinales. Its description in RNAcentral is "eukaryotic LSU rRNA". It matches the Rfam family "Eukaryotic large subunit ribosomal RNA", at positions 81 to 612 of the family's 3401-position model. The record is from RNAcentral. Lineage: Eukaryota; Fungi; Basidiomycota; Agaricomycetes; Sebacinales.
UAGUAACGGCGAGUGAAGAGGGAAAAGCUCAAAUUUUGAAUCUGGUGUCUUUGACUCCCGAGUUGUAAUCUAGAGAAGUGUUUUCCGCGUUGGACCGUGUACAAGUUCCCUGGAACGGGGCGUCAUAGAGGGUGAGAAUCCCGUAUAUGCCACGGACUACCAAUGCUCUGUGAUACACUCUCAACGAGUCGAGUUGUUUGGGAAUGCAGCUCAAAAUGGGUGGUAAAUUCCAUCUAAAGCUAAAUAUUGGCGAGAGACCGAUAGCGAACAAGUACCGUGAGGGAAAGAUGAAAAGCACUUUGGAAAGAGAGUGAAACAGUACGUGAAAUUGUUGAAAGGGAAGCGUUUGAAGUCAGUCACGUCUGUCGGAAUUCAGCCUGGCUUCUGCCUGGUGUACUUUCCGUCCGACGGGUCAGCAUCAAUUUCGACCGAGGGAAAAAGACGUGAGGAAUGUGGCUGUCUUCGGGCAGUGUUAUAGCCUCGGGUUGUAUGUCUCGGUUGGGAUUGAGGAACGCAGCGCGCCUAUUGGCCGGGGGUUCGCGCCCCUCGGUACGCGCUUAGGA